Molecule: ribosomal RNA, 253 nt
Filed under: uncultured Geobacter sp.
Lineage: Bacteria; Pseudomonadati; Thermodesulfobacteriota; Desulfuromonadia; Geobacterales; Geobacteraceae
Description: partial 16S ribosomal RNA
Rfam family: Bacterial small subunit ribosomal RNA
Source: RNAcentral
UACGGAGGGUGCAAGCGUUGUUCGGAUUUAUUGGGCGUAAAGCGCGUGUAGGCGGUCUUUUAAGUCUGAUGUGAAAGCCCCGGGCUCAACCUGGGAAGUGCAUUGGAUACUGGGAGACUUGAGUACGGGAGAGGGUAGUGGAAUUCCCAGUGUAGGAGUGAAAUCCGUAGAUAUUGGGAGGAACACCGGUGGCGAAGGCGGCUACCUGGACCGAUACUGACGCUGAGACGCGAAAGCGUGGGGAGCAAACAGG